This 650-nucleotide long non-coding RNA is filed under the name Prunus dulcis (almond). RNAcentral's name for it is "sRNA ncRNA". Lineage: Eukaryota; Viridiplantae; Streptophyta; Magnoliopsida; Rosales; Rosaceae. The record is from RNAcentral.
UUUUAAUUAUAUAAAAAAACCUCCCUUUCUCUCCGUCCCCCUUCUUCUCCCAGCUCUCCCACCCCAUCCCCUCCUCAAUCCAGCCACCCGCACCUCCUCUAUGAAGCACAGCUCCGCCAUCUACUACUCCUUCGAGCUCGUCCAACUCGGAGGCCGAGGAAGACUUUCAGAGCCGCUUGCUAGGCGAUUCAACAUCCUCAAAUUUUGGCCCAAAUAGACAAAAUUUCUGUUGAAAAUUCUUUGGAACCGUAAGGAAGAAGAAGCGUGCUCAUCCCUCUUAUUCCAGCACGAUAGAAAGCAAAGAGUGAAAGGCUGAGCAACAUGGACGACGACCAAGAUGAUGACUUUGUUUUGGCGCAUUCAUGCAUCUCACCGUCUUCUUCCCAAAAACCAAUCAAAGAGACUAAAUGCCUGUGUAUAAGCUUUGAAAGCAUCUCAAUUUUGCUUGCAUGCAUCUAAUACAAAUUAGAAAUAUGCCCCAUCAAUAAUAAAUACCGUGAAUGCUGUCCCAAAAUAUAUUGCAACAUUCAUCCUUUUCCUUUCUUAAUUAUGUUAUAUAUUUUGUGUUCAUUCUAUUUCCAUCCUCAUAAUCCUAAUUGUCUCAAUCAAAUCUCCGUAAUUUAAUAUUAGUUUCAAUUGGUAAAGUAACU